This 296-nucleotide ribosomal RNA is filed under the name uncultured bacterium. Its description in RNAcentral is "partial 16S ribosomal RNA". It matches the Rfam family "Bacterial small subunit ribosomal RNA", at positions 335 to 629 of the family's 1533-position model. The record is from RNAcentral.
UCGCCUACGGGAGGCAGCAGUGAGGAAUAUUGGUCAAUGGGCGCGAGCCUGAACCAGCCAAGUCGCGUGAGGGAAGACGGUCCUAUGGAUUGUAAACCUCUUUUGUCGGGGAGCAAAAGACGCCACGCGUGGCGUUCCGAGAGUACCCGAAGAAAAAGCAUCGGCUAACUCCGUGCCAGCAGCCGCGGUAAUACGGAGGAUGCGAGCGUUAUCCGGAUCUAUUGGGUUUAAAGGGUGCGGAGGCGGCAGAUCAAGUCAGCGGUAAACUUGAGAGGCUCGACCUCUUCGAGCAGUUG